CAUGUACUUCCUCCGUCCAACAAAGGAUGUCUCAACUUUGAAUAAAUUUGAAUGCAUCAAUACACUGAGUCAUGUCUAGAUACAUCCAAAUUUUGACAAAUUUGAGACAUCUUUUGUUGGACGGAGUGAGUAUGAU
Non-coding RNA from Brachypodium distachyon (stiff brome), 136 nucleotides. The record is from Rfam. Lineage: Eukaryota; Viridiplantae; Streptophyta; Magnoliopsida; Poales; Poaceae.